AACACUUUUCGCUUGUAAUUUGCCCCAGGGCAGGGACUGGCUUUUUGUCCGUGACCUCCCGGAAUCCAGUACCUGAAUUUCGGCACACAGUGGGUGCUCGAUGGCAUUUGCUGAAUGAACGCGGGAGCAAAUGAAUAGUAUAACCUUACCGUGUCACAGCAUACUUGGAAUGGAGCGAGAAGUUAAAGAAAUGAGAAGCUGUGAGCAGCCCUCUGAUUCCACCAAACCCACUGGAUUAACAAAAACCUGAAAGUAAAACACCACAAAAUGAUAUCCCUGCAUGAGCUACUAUCAUACCUUGCAUCCUACAAUUACACCAGUUCAAUCUAAAUGCCCCCAAAACAUAAUUUCAUUAAUUCAGGCCAUUUCAGAACGGCUCGACAUUGUCUCGUCUUGGAUUUUCCGUUGUUAGUUUUCAGCAGAGAAGGGUGCAGGCACAGGCCACCUUAGCAAUGUGGUGAGGAGCCCACGGCACAGUGAAGACGACGGGACAGCGAGCGGCUGGCGGAGGACCGAAGAGGGGAACCGGAAACGUUGAUUUGGGGAUGAAAAGAAGAAGAGGAAGAAGAAGAAGAAAAGAAAAAAACGAGCGGAGAAGAAGAGGGAAGGAGAUCCAGGAGGAAUCCCGCGGGCAGGUACACGGAGCUGCACUGGGGUCGCCUGCCUGUGGCUGGCACCGCCCGGGGAGCUGAGAAACACCAUGACACCGGGCUGAGCGUCGCCUGCAGACACGGGACCGGGCCUCAGAGCUGCUUUCAAGGCCAGCGUUCAAGGUGUCUUAUGGCCUCCGAGUCAAACCCUUUAUAGAGAUUUCCUCCUGUGACAGAAUCCUUGGACCGACACAGAUGCACCGUGUGUAGUUAAUUUACUUUAUCAGAGGG
Herpailurus yagouaroundi (jaguarundi) is the source of this 881-nucleotide long non-coding RNA. RefSeq lists it as uncharacterized. The record is from RefSeq and is a predicted model, not a curated record. The transcript is spliced from 2 exons. Lineage: Eukaryota; Metazoa; Chordata; Mammalia; Carnivora; Felidae.